This 236-nucleotide ribosomal RNA is filed under the name uncultured bacterium. Its description in RNAcentral is "partial 16S ribosomal RNA". It matches the Rfam family "Bacterial small subunit ribosomal RNA", at positions 524 to 762 of the family's 1533-position model. The record is from RNAcentral.
UACAGAGGAUGCAAGCGUUAUCCGGAAUGAUUGGGCGUAAAGCGUCUGUAGGUGGCUUUUAAGUCCGCCGUCAAAUCCCAGGGCUCAACUCUGGACAGGCGGUGGAAACUACCAAGCUGGAGUACAGUAGGGGCAGAGGGAAUUUCCGGUGGAGCGGUGAAAUGCGUAGAGAUCGGAAAGAACACCAACGGCGAAAGCACUCUGCUGGCCGACACUGACACUGAGAGACGAAGCUA